AAAGGAAUAGACGGGGGCCCGCACAAGCGGUGGAUUAUGUGGUUUAAUUCGAAGCAACGCGAAGAACCUUACCAGGGCUUGACAUCCUACUAACGAGGCAGAGAUGCGUCAGGUGCCCUUCGGGGAAAGUAGAGACAGGUGGUGCAUGGUUGUCGUCAGCUCGUGUCGUGAGAUGUUGGGUUAAGUCCCGCAACGAGCGCAACCCUUAUUGCUAGUUGCUACGCAAGAGCACUCUAGCGAGACUGCCGUUGACAAAACGGAGGAAGGCGGGGACGACGUCAAAUCAUCAUGCCCUUUAUGUCCUGGGCCACACACGUAAUACAAUGGCGGCCAACAGAGGGAGGCUAACCCGCGAGGGGGCGCGAAUCCCCAAAAGCCGUCUCAGUUCGGAUCGCAGGCUGCAACCCGCCUGCGUGAAGUCGGAAUCGCUAGUAAUCGCGGAUCAGCAUGCCGCGGUGAAUACGUUCCCGGGCCUUGUACACACCGCCCGU
Molecule: ribosomal RNA, 491 nt
Filed under: uncultured bacterium
Lineage: Bacteria
Description: bacterial SSU rRNA
Rfam family: Bacterial small subunit ribosomal RNA
Source: RNAcentral